RNAcentral lists this microRNA (20 nucleotides) under Physcomitrium patens. RNAcentral's name for it is "ppt-miR477a-5p". Its record names the gene ppt-miR477c. Lineage: Eukaryota; Viridiplantae; Streptophyta; Bryopsida; Funariales; Funariaceae. The record is from miRBase by way of RNAcentral.
CUCUCCCUCAAAGGCUUCCA